UACGUAGGGGGCUAGCGUUGUCCGGAAUCAUUGGGCGUAAAGCGCGUGUAGGCGGCCCGGUAAGUCCGCUGUGAAAGUCGGGGGCUCAACCCUCGGAUGCCGGUGGAUACUGUCGGGCUAGAGUGCGGAAGAGGCGAGUGGAAUUCCUGGUGUAGCGGUGAAAUGCGCAGAUAUCAGGAGGAACACCAAUUGCGAAGGCAGCUCGCUGGGACGUUACUGACGCUGAGACGCGAAAGCGUGGGGAGCGAACAGG
Molecule: ribosomal RNA, 253 nt
Filed under: uncultured bacterium
Lineage: Bacteria
Description: partial 16S ribosomal RNA
Rfam family: Bacterial small subunit ribosomal RNA
Source: RNAcentral